Molecule: long non-coding RNA, 185 nt
Organism: Aedes albopictus (Asian tiger mosquito)
Lineage: Eukaryota; Metazoa; Arthropoda; Insecta; Diptera; Culicidae
Exons: 2
Source: RefSeq, a predicted model, not a curated record
GAUGGUUGGACUUCCUGGAGUACCCAAAAGCAUAACCUUCUAUGUUCCGGAAUUGUUCCUGACGCUGACUGGCCAUGCGUCGGUGGGAACUGAAGUGCCGUCACACACAUUGCAUGCUGAUUGGAUGCCCUUGUGGGAUUGGCUCAAUUCGGGUUUCUAGAGCAGACGUACGAGCGGAUGGCCAU